CCUGGUGCCCAUAGCGCCGCGGAUCCACCCCGACCCAUCCCGACCUCGGCGGUGAAACGCGGCUGCGGUGAAAAUACUGGGGGGUUCGCCCCCUGGGAAGAUAGCUCGGUGCCAGGG
RNAcentral lists this ribosomal RNA (117 nucleotides) under Cyanobacteria bacterium QS_8_64_29. Lineage: Bacteria; Bacillati; Cyanobacteriota. The record is from RNAcentral.